UAAUACGUAGGUGGCAAGCGUUGUCCGGAUUUACUGGGCGUAAAGCGUGUGUAGGCGGACCUUUAAGUAGAAAGUGAAAGGUUGGAGCUCAACUCCAACACUGCUCUCUAUACUGGAGGUCUUGAGUGCCGGAGAGGAAGAUGGAACUGCACGUGUAGCGGUGAAAUGCGUUGAUAUGUGCAGGAACACCAAUGGCGAAGGCAAUCUUCUGGACGGAGGAGCGCAAGCUUCUUAAAACUGACGCUGAGACACGAAAGCCAAGGGAGCAAACAGGAUUAGAUACCCUGGUAGUCUUGGCCCUAAACUAUGAUCACUAGGUGUUGGGGUUCAUGCCUCAGUGCCGCAGCUAACGCAUUAAGUGAUCCGCCUGGGGACUACGGCCGCAAGGUUG
RNAcentral lists this ribosomal RNA (391 nucleotides) under uncultured bacterium. Its description in RNAcentral is "bacterial SSU rRNA". It matches the Rfam family "Bacterial small subunit ribosomal RNA", at positions 521 to 896 of the family's 1533-position model. The record is from RNAcentral.